Molecule: ribosomal RNA, 258 nt
Filed under: uncultured bacterium
Lineage: Bacteria
Description: partial 16S ribosomal RNA
Rfam family: Bacterial small subunit ribosomal RNA
Source: RNAcentral
CGGGACGGGUGAGUAACACGUAGAGAACCUACCUUACACAGGGGGACAACGGCUGGAAACGGCUGCUAAUACCGCAUAAGCACCCAGUUUCGCAUGAAACAGAGUGAAAAGAGUAAAUCGGUGUAAGAUGGCUCUGCGUCUGAUUAGCUAGUUGGUGGGGUAAAGGCUCACCAAGGCGACGAUCAGUAGCCGGCCUGAGAGGGCGACCGGCCACAUUGGGACUGAGACACGGCCCAGACUCCUACGGGAGGCAGCAGU